This 497-nucleotide ribosomal RNA is filed under the name uncultured bacterium. RNAcentral's name for it is "partial 16S ribosomal RNA". It matches the Rfam family "Bacterial small subunit ribosomal RNA", at positions 28 to 507 of the family's 1533-position model. The record is from RNAcentral.
GAUGAACGCUGGCGGCGUGCCUAAUACAUGCAAGUCGAGCGAACGGACGAGAAGCUCGCUUCUCUGAUGUUAGCGGCGGACGGGUGAGUAACACGUGGAUAACCUACCUAUAAGACUGGGAUAACUUCGGGAAACCGGAGCUAAUACCGGAUGAUAUUUUGAACCGCAUGGUUCAAAAGUGAAAGACGGUCUUGCUGUCACUUAUAGAUGGAUCCGCGCUGCAUUAGCUAGUUGGUAAGGUAACGGCUUACCAAGGCAACGAUGCAUAGCCGACCUGAGAGGGUGAUCGGCCACACUGGAACUGAGACACGGUCCAGACUCCUACGGGAGGCAGCAGUAGGGAAUCUUCCGCAAUGGGCGAAAGCCUGACGGAGCAACGCCGCGUGAGUGAUGAAGGUCUUCGGAUCGUAAAACUCUGUUAUUAGGGAAGAACAUAUGUGUAAGUAACUGUGCACAUCUUGACGGUACCUAAUCAGAAAGCCACGGCUAACUACGUG